AUGUUAGGGUUUGCGUGAGAUGAAAGUGUGUGAGUCAGAUUGAAUUUUUCAGAGCUUCCUGGGGGUUGCUCUGAGUUCUCUGUCAGGUUUCUCUCCAGGUUUUGUCAAGGGUUUUGUUUCAAGGAAACCUCAGAGUAUUUUGCUUCUCUUCCUUUUUCUGUCUGAUCUCCCUCUUUUAUAACUUGAUUUUCAUGGCUUUGUGGGCUCAAAUGAGAGAGGUCCAAGUCCAAGUUUUUUCUAUUAUAUUUUAUUUAUUUUUUUAUUAUUAUUUUUAUUUAUUU
Molecule: long non-coding RNA, 281 nt
Filed under: Lathyrus oleraceus (garden pea)
Lineage: Eukaryota; Viridiplantae; Streptophyta; Magnoliopsida; Fabales; Fabaceae
Description: Pisum sativum (pea) long non-coding RNA (PSAT_LNC002884)
Source: RNAcentral